Suricata suricatta (meerkat) is the source of this 1078-nucleotide long non-coding RNA. RefSeq lists it as uncharacterized. The record is from RefSeq and is a predicted model, not a curated record. The transcript is spliced from 3 exons. Lineage: Eukaryota; Metazoa; Chordata; Mammalia; Carnivora; Herpestidae.
AAGAAUUUAACUGACUUCUGUCUGAUUUGGGGUCAGAAUAAUUAGAUAUUUCUAAAGUACAUUGUAAGCCAAGAGACUAGGUGCUUCUCUUUCCCUUCCCCAGAUCUACAGGAAGGAUGAGGAGGAAGGAUGGGUGGAAAUUAACCAGUAUAUUAACUGACAUGACACUCUUCUCUCUACCGGGGAUCAGAAACUCUCUUUGAGAAAUCUGUCUCAAGACUAUAUGACACAGAAAUCCAGCCUGAGUUCCAGCUUGCUAGCCAGCUCUACACGUAAGCCCAUCAGUUAGCACAAGAUCUCGGCGCUGCUACUUUGGUUCCUGAGACCGUCCUGUUUCCGGGGGAAGCACACUUUACCUGAUAAUUCAAGGAGCCACUGAUGAGCCUUCAGACUGUCCCCUAAGUGGUUUUCCCUCCUGCGUUCCUCUUCUUGGUAUCUUUCCCAUUGAACAUAUAUCUUCACCUAUACUGAAUCCUUCCAGAGGCUUCUCUCAACCAGAGUGUUCACAAAAGCUCUUAUUGAACUGAAAUAAGUUCGGUCCGGAUGUCCUUUACUAUUAUUAUUAUUAUUAUUAUUAUUAUUAUUUCCUUACAUUCACACUUACUUGGGGUAAACAGCAGUCCCGCGCCCAGCUCCCCACGAAUCAACAUUCUGAGGUUCCGCUCUAAGAAGAAUAUCUGUAUUGCCAAAAUUUUGUUUUGAAAACAUAAGAACAACAAAACCAAGAAACGAGGGAACAUUUCUUUAAUAUCCAUGCCCACCGAAGGGUUCAUCUCCCAGGUAUAGCCUACGGGCGGACUGGGGAAAUUACAUGAUCACGUUUGAGAGGACACCUUCUCCCAUUUCUGUCUCUGUGGUGCAAUCAGUUAGCGUGUUCAGCUAUUAACCGAAAGGUUGGUGGUUCGAGCCCGCCCAGGGACGGGUACCUCCCUCUAAGGACCCAGUGGUAGUUCCUACCGAAGUUUUGUCAGACAUCUCUGAACAUUCUCACAAAUGAAAGUCUACCUAAGACAGCUACCCCGGGCGUCUUGGCAAAGGGUUAAGUGUCCUCUGGUUCAGCAAUUAAAUAUCGACUGAA